GUGAGGAAUUUUGCGCAAUGGGGGCAACCCUGACGCAGCGACGCCGCGUGGAGGACGAAGUCUUUCGGGAUGUAAACUCCUGUCAGUGGGGACGAUAAUGACGGUACCCACAGAGGAAGCACCGGCUAACUCCGUGCCAGCAGCCGCGGUAAGACGGAGGGUGCAAGCGUUGUUCGGAAUUACUGGGCGUAAAGCGUAUGUAGGCGGCAAGUUAAGUUCAAUGUUAAAGCCCACGGCUCAACCGAGGAGAUGCAUUGAAUACUGGCUAGCUAGAGGGUGUUAGAGGAAGACGGAAUUCCCAGUGUAGCGGUGAAAUGCGUAGAUAUUGGGAGGAACACCAGUGGCGAAGGCGACGAUCUGGGCCUGAACUGACGCUGAGGAGCGAAAGCUAGGGGAGCAAACGGGAUUAGAUACCCUGGUAGUCC
Molecule: ribosomal RNA, 425 nt
Filed under: uncultured bacterium
Lineage: Bacteria
Description: partial 16S ribosomal RNA
Rfam family: Bacterial small subunit ribosomal RNA
Source: RNAcentral